UACGUAGGGUGCAAGCGUUGUCCGGAAUUAUUGGGCGUAAAGAGCUCGUAGGCGGUCUGUCGCGUCUGCUGUGAAACUCGGGGCUCAACUCCGAGCUUGCAGUCGAUACGGGCAGACUAGAGUGUGGUAGGGGAGACUGGAAUUCCUGGUGUAGCGGUGAAAUGCGCAGAUAUCAGGAGGAACACCGGCGGCGAAGGCGGGUCUCUGGGCCAUAACUGACGCUGAGGAGCGAAAGCGUGGGGAGCGAACAGG
RNAcentral lists this ribosomal RNA (252 nucleotides) under uncultured bacterium. RNAcentral describes it as "partial 16S ribosomal RNA". It matches the Rfam family "Bacterial small subunit ribosomal RNA", at positions 524 to 776 of the family's 1533-position model. The record is from RNAcentral.